This 566-nucleotide ribosomal RNA is filed under the name uncultured archaeon. Its description in RNAcentral is "bacterial SSU rRNA". It matches the Rfam family "Archaeal small subunit ribosomal RNA", at positions 311 to 879 of the family's 1478-position model. The record is from RNAcentral.
CGCGAAUUCGCCCUUCGGGGUGCCCAGGCGCGAAAACUUUACAAUGCACGAAAGUGUGAUAAGGGAAUCCAAAGUGCUCAUGUUUAACAUGGGCUUUUGCCAAGGGUAAAUACCUUGGAGAAUAAGUGGUGGGUAAGACUGGUGCCAGCAGCCGCGGUAACCCCAGCGCCACAAGUGGGAGCCACAAUUAUUUGGCCUAAAGCGUCCGUAGCUGGUUAUGUAAAUCUUUUGUGAAAUCGGAAGGCUCAACUUUCCGGCGUGCAGAAGACACUGCAUAACUUGAGAUUGGGAGGGGUAAGGAGUAUUCCUAGGGAACCGGUAAAAUGGGAUAAUCCUAGGAGGACUACCUGUGGCGAAGGCGCCUUACCAGAACAAGUCUGACAGUGAGGGACGAAGGCUAGGGGAGCGAACCGGAUUAGAUACCCGAGUAGUCCUAGCAGUAAACUCUGCGGGCUAGGUGUUACACCAUCUAUGUGAUUGUGUAGUGUCGUAGCGAAGGCAUUAAGCCCGCCGCCUGGGAAGUAUGGUCGCAAGACUGAAACUUAAAGGAAUUGGCGGGGGAGCAC